Molecule: long non-coding RNA, 1886 nt
Organism: Chenopodium quinoa (quinoa)
Lineage: Eukaryota; Viridiplantae; Streptophyta; Magnoliopsida; Caryophyllales; Amaranthaceae
Exons: 5
Source: RefSeq, a predicted model, not a curated record
UGCGAAUUUCUUGAAAUGGCGUCGGUUCAAACCUGUGCCAAUUUGUAAUAAAAAUAAAAACCCGCCCCUUUUUCUUCUUUCUAUUUCCCUCUUCGUUCUUUUUGUUUCCCCUCUUCGUUCUUAUCUCUCUUUUCUCUCUCCUCUCUCCUCAAACAAACCCUAAUCUACUGAAGAAAUCAGCCUCAAACGACCUGCUGCCCUCCUUCGAAAACUGGCGUCAAUUCGAACCAAGGACAACCAUCAUCGCCUCCACCGUAUAUUUCUUGAAUCUACAAUAUUGGAGGUUAGGGUUUCUGGGUGCGUCUAUUUUGAAUCAAUUCGAUGUGCGUGCGUCUUCAACAACAACAUAUUCGAAUCAAUUUUGAACAAAAAUCAGAAAUUCGAGAUGGCUGGAGAAACUGAUACCAAUAACAAUGGAGGUAACAACGCUUUUAAUGAAGAUAAGAAGCCUGCUCCUGAUCAAUUUACUCAUAUCAAUCUCAAGGUUAUAGGUCAGUUGAUGACAGUCUGUUGCUUACUCUUGCCCAUUAAAAGUACAAAUCUGGGAACUACAAGCAAGCACUUGACUUCAGCAAUAAUUUGUUCGAGAGAAACCCUCGCCGUACAGAUAAUAUUUUGCUAUUGGGUGCUAUAUAUUAUCAGCUGCUAAACUUAGGGACUGAGGGUAGCAUCAAUGAGAUGGGCAGGCUGACAAUAAUCUUACAGAUUAAAGAGCUGAGGGGUGGAAGUUAAUCCAAACAAUGAGACGGGUAAGCUGAAAUAAUCAGUCAUUUAUGAUUAGGGAGAUUUUCCCUCAAUCCACCUCUCGCCAUGUGGACCAAUCAGGGCCUGACAAGUGUCACCUAGUUGGACUUAUCAGGACCUGCCACGUGGCGUGCUUCCAUUGGUCCACCAUGGACCUCCCAUGCUGCGCCAUGUAGCCCUCUCAGCCUUGCCUAAACAGGUAAUAGAUUGGGCCCAAUUCCCAGGAAAGCCCAGUCAUUCCUAGGGUUGGCCAAAAACCCUAGAACCUGGCACGCUUCCCAAGGCUAUAAAUACGGUCAUAAAUGCUCAUUUAUGACAAGAGACUGUUCACAAGAAACACUCGGAUUUACACAAAUCCCAAGACAAUCAUACAUCACUCGGUACCGCAUGCUAGACCCGUCCUAGCAUCCGGCACCUAUUUACAUUCUGCUUUACAACUCCUUCAUCUACUAACUUGAUCAUUGGAGGCGGAGCUCCCUACCCAAGGAGUCUCUGUUAUCUUGCAGGUACAGGCGCGUGGUUCCAGCCUCGAAGUUGUAACUCUCCCAAGGGACACAGAAAACCCCGGAACAAUUUAUAUCUUGUACAACUACUAUAUAGGUUCUAUUCACAACAGUGGAGGACAUGGACAGCCUGUUUCAUACAAGCAGCAUGGCGGCGAUACAACAGAAAGAAGCAUGGGAAAUCAUUACGAGACGCUCUUGCAAGGGGGUUGGAAGCUCACCAAGCUCUGGUGCCACAGUUUAUGCAUCAAGGUUUGCUGCCAAUGCACUUCGUAACUUGCGACAUAAUACUUCCCGAAAUAACAAAAUUCCACCAAGGUCACCCCUCCUCAUCUUGCAGAAGCCAACUGAACCUGAUUUCUCAUCGUUUGACGAUGGUUAGCCACUUAGCCUUUCAUUCCCUUCCCUUCCAAGUUAUUGCUUCUUCCUACUCUUAACUUCGAUGUUUAGAUCAUCAUUAAUCAACAGGUAUAAUUUGUAAAAUGGUAGGAUUAGAAAAUGUCCAGUUUGAAGCCUAAGUGAUACUCCUAUGUAUGAUUUUAUUACAGCCUAACAAAAUCAUGAUGUUAUUUUAUUUUAUUUUAUUUUUUUGAACGAAAAUUGUAAUAUUACAGCCUUUUUUAAUGAAAAAAUGUAACU